This 396-nucleotide ribosomal RNA is filed under the name Ophryotrocha socialis. Its description in RNAcentral is "partial 16S ribosomal RNA". It matches the Rfam family "Bacterial large subunit ribosomal RNA", at positions 1858 to 2579 of the family's 2925-position model. The record is from RNAcentral. Lineage: Eukaryota; Metazoa; Annelida; Polychaeta; Eunicida; Dorvilleidae.
CCUGCCCAGUGAAAGUUAAACGGCCGCGCAAGUGCUAAGGUAGCAUAAUCAUUUGCCUUUUAAUUGGAGGCUAGAAUGAACGGAAUUAUAAAUUAUUGCUUUAUUAUAAAUACGCAUAAAAACUAAAAUUUAUGUGAAAAUACAUAAAUACAAAAAAAAGACCAAAAGACCCUAGGAGCUUAAAUUUUAAUACCCUGUCAACCUGGCUAAAAAUUUUUAUUGGGGCGAUAAGGGAUAUCCAUCCCGCUUCUAAUAACCCUAUCCUUUCAAAGGUGAGUUUAGCUACCCUAGGGAUAACAGGCUACUCUUUUUUAAAAGUCCACAUUUACAAAAAGAUCUUGCACCUCGAUGUUGGCUUAGGAAUAUGUAAAAUGCAGCAGUUUUAUUGAAUGGCUU